GAGACGGACGACGAGAAACCGGAGCGAUCAACGGCCGAAUUCGGAGAAGACGACUCGACACAUUUUGAGGUGCAACGAAACGGAGCGUCUUUUACGGUUUGAUCUUCGGUUGCCCCGCGUUCGUCUGGAGCCGUUUCAUGGCCGCCGCUUUCGCUGCAACCGCUCUGCUGUUGGGCCCGCACUGAAGCAAGUGCUGGAAUACGAUCCCGAUGAUGUGAGCAGUCCAGGGUCGUACGGGGAGAAGCUCACUCGGAAAACCUCCUGAGAAAUGGCUUUGCACCUGAGCAUCACCUCCUCCUGCCUCCACUUCCACACGGUCAGCAAGUAGUCGGGUGC
This is a long non-coding RNA of Hippocampus zosterae (dwarf seahorse), 336 nucleotides long. RefSeq lists it as uncharacterized. The record is from RefSeq and is a predicted model, not a curated record. The transcript is spliced from 3 exons. NCBI's taxonomy places the organism in Eukaryota, Metazoa, Chordata, Actinopteri, Syngnathiformes, Syngnathidae.